AAAGUAGUUCUGAUAGUCAUUCUUUCUGCUCCACGCAAGAGGACCAAGGGUGUCUUAUAUUUAUGCUUUUACUGCCAAGUGGAGCUUUGGUCCCUGAGAACCACUCACCAGGAGAUGCCCAUCAAUGUAAACAUCGAGCUGACUUAAAUAUUCUCCUGCUUUAAGCUGCUUACCUUCAAAAUCUACUUCUGGAACUGUGCUCUGUCACCAGAUAACUUAAGACUUCACUUUGCACCUUAUUGGCCAGAAGUGUGUUACGUGACAAUUCUUCAACCAAGAAGGGGAACGGAUUAGCUUGACAGGCUGCAGACUACCCUUCGAACUGAGCAUGAAGUCAUCUUCCUCCAAGUCAUGUGUGAGGACGUGAAGGAAGUGAGAUAUCUGAACACAAAGGAAGGAAGAAGGGAGAAUGAGCAUUGGAUAGACAAUCAGUUGAGCACUUGGAGCUGCUUUGUGCGAGCUUGUGAGAGUCAACUGUUAGACUCAGGAAUUUUGAAUGCUGGCAGUUAAACACAGCCAUUAUCAAAAAUUAAGUUAUAUAAUCUUACAGUUAAAAUAUGUUAAAGCAAAAGUAAUAAAUACUCAAAAGUGAUCAAUCUCUAAUUAUUUUUACUACAUCAUUCUAUUAUCUAUGCUUUUGAUGUUUUGUAUCUGUGUGGG
RNAcentral lists this long non-coding RNA (660 nucleotides) under Equus caballus (horse). RNAcentral's name for it is "lncRNA (ENSECAG00000036544.3)". The record is from RNAcentral. Lineage: Eukaryota; Metazoa; Chordata; Mammalia; Perissodactyla; Equidae.